Molecule: ribosomal RNA, 254 nt
Filed under: uncultured bacterium
Lineage: Bacteria
Description: partial 16S ribosomal RNA
Rfam family: Bacterial small subunit ribosomal RNA
Source: RNAcentral
UACAGAGGGUGCAAGCAUUGUCCGGAUUUAUUGGGCGUAAAGCGUUUCGUAGGCGGAUUUGCAAGUUAUUUUUCAAAUACCAAGGCUCAACCUUGGAAAGGGGAAUAAUACUACAAGUCUUGAAUUGUAUCGGGGUUUUCGGAACUUGCGGUGUAGGGGUGUAAUCCGUUGAUAUCGCAAGGAACACCAAGGGCGAAGGCAGAAAACUAGGUACUAAUUGACGCUGAGGAACGACAGCUAGGGGAGCGAAAGGG